CCUCUUUAAAUCUUAAGCAUUUAUGAUUAUAUUAAAUCGUGUCUGGUCGCACCAGACUAUGGCGAUAAACGCGCAUGAAAUAAACAGGCUGGACCGGGGUGCGAUUCCCCGCGGC
Molecule: transfer-messenger RNA, 115 nt
Filed under: Caulobacterales bacterium
Lineage: Bacteria; Pseudomonadati; Pseudomonadota; Alphaproteobacteria; Caulobacterales
Description: partial transfer-messenger RNA
Rfam family: Alphaproteobacteria transfer-messenger RNA
About the family: Bacterial tmRNA, also known as 10Sa RNA or SsrA, is named for its dual tRNA and mRNA-like properties. Its role is to liberate the mRNA from a stalled ribosome.
Source: RNAcentral